AUCUACGACCACAGAACGAGGAAAAUUGGGUAUCCCGUCCGCUCUGCCUUACACAAGCCUCGUAUCGAUCAAGUAGUAGUAUCGUGGGUGACCAGAUGCGAAUUCUGAUUGUUGUAGUUC
Molecule: ribosomal RNA, 120 nt
Organism: Dactylellina haptotyla CBS 200.50
Lineage: Eukaryota; Fungi; Ascomycota; Orbiliomycetes; Orbiliales; Orbiliaceae
Source: Rfam